CCUACGGGGGGCAGCAGUAGGGAAUAUUGCUCAAUGGGGGAAACCCUGAAGCAGCAACGCCGCGUGGAGGAUGAAGGUUUUCGGAUUGUAAAGUCCUUUUGUUAGAGAAGAUAAUGACGGUAUCUAAAGAAUAAGCACCGGCUAACUCCGUGCCAGCAGCCGCGGUAAUACGUAGGGUGCAAGCGUUACUCGGAUUCACUGGGCGUAAAGAGCGCGUAGGCGGGAUAGCAAGUCAGAUGUGAAAUCCUAUGGUUUAACCAUAGAACUGCAAUUGAUACUGGUAAUCUAGAGUAUGGGAGAGGUAGGUGGAAUUCUGGGUGUAGGGGUAAAAUCGGUAGAGAUCAAGAGGAAUACUCAUGGCGAAGGCGACCUGCUAGAACAUAACUGACGCUGAUGCGCGAAAGCGUGGGGAGCAAACAGGAUUAGAUACCCCAGUAGUC
Molecule: ribosomal RNA, 440 nt
Filed under: uncultured bacterium
Lineage: Bacteria
Description: partial 16S ribosomal RNA
Rfam family: Bacterial small subunit ribosomal RNA
Source: RNAcentral